This 253-nucleotide ribosomal RNA is filed under the name uncultured bacterium. RNAcentral's name for it is "partial 16S ribosomal RNA". It matches the Rfam family "Bacterial small subunit ribosomal RNA", at positions 524 to 776 of the family's 1533-position model. The record is from RNAcentral.
GACGGAGGGCGCUAGCGUUGUUCGGAAUCACUGGGCGUAAAGGGCGCGUAGGCGGCCAGGUAAGUCGGGGGUGAAAGCCCGGGGCUCAACCGCGGAGUGGCCUUCGAGACUGCGUGGCUGGAGACCGGGAGAGGAGAGUGGAAUUCCCAGUGUAGAGGUGAAAUUCGUAGAUAUUGGGAGGAACACCAGUGGCGAAGGCGGCUCACUGGCCCGGAACUGACGCUGAGGCGCGAAAGCGUGGGGAGCAAACAGG